This 540-nucleotide ribosomal RNA is filed under the name uncultured bacterium. RNAcentral's name for it is "bacterial SSU rRNA". It matches the Rfam family "Bacterial small subunit ribosomal RNA", at positions 355 to 896 of the family's 1533-position model. The record is from RNAcentral.
UGAGGAAUAUUGGCUAAUGGGCGCAAGCCUGAACCAGCCAAGUAGCGUGCAGGAAGACGGCCCUAUGGGUUGUAAACUGCUUUUAUACGAGAAUAAUUUGAUGCACGUGUGCGUUAUUGCAUGUAUCGUAUGAAUAAGGACCGGCUAAUUCCGUGCCAGCAGCCGCGGUAAUACGGAAGGUCCAGGCGUUAUCCGGAUUUAUUGGGUUUAAAGGGAGUGUAGGCGGUUUGUUAAGCGUGUUGUGAAAUUUAGAUGCUCAACAUUUAACUUGCAGCGCGAACUGGCGAACUUGAGUGCACACAACGUAUGCGGAAUUCAUGGUGUAGCGGUGAAAUGCUUAGAUAUCAUGAAGAACUCCGAUUGCGAAGGCAGCAUACGGGAGUGUAACUGACGCUUAAGCUCGAAGGUGCGGGUAUCGAACAGGAUUAGAUACCCUGGUAGUCCGCACAGUAAACGAUGGAUGCCCGCUGUUAGCGCCUGGCGUUAGCGGCUAAGCGAAAGCAUUAAGCAUCCCACCUGGGGAGUACGCCGGCAACGGUG